AUUGGAGAGUUUGAUCCUGGCUCAGGACGAACGCUGGCGGCGUGCCUAACACAUGUAAGUCGAACGGGACUCGGGGGGCAACUCUCGAGUUCAGUGGCAGACGGGUGCGUAACACGUGAGAAACUUGUCCAUCGGUGGGGGAUAGCCGGCCCAACGGCCGGUUAAUACCGCGUACGAUCGUUUGGGGACAUCCCUGAAUGAUGAAAGCAUCGCAAGAUGCGCCGGCGGAGAGUCUCGCGGCCUAUCAGCUAGUUGGCGGGGUAACGGCCCACCAAGGCGACGACGGGUAGCUGGUCUGAGAGGAUGGCCAGCCACAUUGGGACUGAGACACGGCCCAGACUCCUACGGGAGGCAGCAGUGGGGAAUCUUGCGCAAUGGCCGCAAGGCUGACGCAGCGACGCCGCGUGUGGGAUGACGGCCUUCGGGUUGU
Molecule: ribosomal RNA, 430 nt
Filed under: Gemmatimonadota bacterium
Lineage: Bacteria; Pseudomonadati; Gemmatimonadota
Description: bacterial SSU rRNA
Rfam family: Bacterial small subunit ribosomal RNA
Source: RNAcentral